RNAcentral lists this long non-coding RNA (385 nucleotides) under Citrus x clementina. Its description in RNAcentral is "Citrus clementina (C. clementina) long non-coding RNA (CCLE_LNC004742)". Lineage: Eukaryota; Viridiplantae; Streptophyta; Magnoliopsida; Sapindales; Rutaceae. The record is from RNAcentral.
AAAAACCAAUCUUCCAGAAGUAAGUAUGAGAAUAUUAACGAACUCUAGCUAAUAAAAUUUAAAUAAAACUAGUGUGUCAAUAGUCAGUCAUAGCUAAAUGGCUAACAUGAAAAUCAAACUACAAAAUUAAGAGACAGAGAGAGUACCAGCAGUGUUCCAGAGACCUAAAUUCACAGUCCAGCCAUCAACCAUGACAUUAGCGCUAAAGUUAUCAAAAACAGUAGGCACGUAAUCAUGUCACAGAACCCACAAAGCAAGAUCCUUUACUAACCAAAUGCACAUAAAAACAUGACUAAGAAACAAUUUUAAGAGAAGUUAUAUACAGUUGGGAAAGUGUUGCCGGUGUAAGAAAUGAGGAGACAUGUCUUGCCAACGGCACCAUCUC